GCCAGGCAUGGUGGAUCAUGCCUGUAGUCCCAGUUAUCAGGAGGCUGAGGCAGGAGGAUCACUUGAGCCCAGGAGUUGGAGGCUGCACUGAGCUUUGACUGUGCCACUGCACUCCAGCCUGGGCAAUGGAGUGAGACCCUGUCUCUU
This 147-nucleotide non-coding RNA is filed under the name Homo sapiens (human). Lineage: Eukaryota; Metazoa; Chordata; Mammalia; Primates; Hominidae. The record is from Rfam by way of RNAcentral.